This 396-nucleotide long non-coding RNA is filed under the name Theobroma cacao (cacao). Its description in RNAcentral is "long non-coding RNA (TCAC_LNC002073)". Lineage: Eukaryota; Viridiplantae; Streptophyta; Magnoliopsida; Malvales; Malvaceae. The record is from RNAcentral.
CUCGGAAUCGGAACACCAAAAUUGAGCAAAGUGCUAGACAGUGCAAUUCAUAUGGUGAAGAUGAGCUAGAAGGUGGACCCAGCACACGCCUUAGGAAAAGAGUCCGAAAGCCUCUGAAAGAGUCAGAAACAAAACCAAAAGAGAAGAAGCAGGCCAGUAAGAAGAAAGUGAAGAAUGCUUCAAAUGUGAAAACUCUAGCUGGUCACAAUACUUCAAAAGUAAGGGAUGAGGAAGCAGAAUACCAGUGUGACAUGGAAGGAUGCACCAUGAGUUUUGGCUUGAAACAAGAGCUGCUCCUGCACAAAAGAAACAUUUGUCCGGUCAAGGGGUGUGGGAAGAAGUUCUUCUCACACAAGUAUCUGGUGCAGCAUCGCCGAGUUCAUUUGGAUGACCGAC